AUUUAAAAUAAUUGAUAUAAUAAUAUUUAGAUGGGAGUGCCCACCCUCACAUUUAAUUAAUUAUUUAUAUA
This 71-nucleotide transfer RNA is filed under the name Mattiphus splendidus. RNAcentral's name for it is "tRNA-Ile". The record is from RNAcentral. Lineage: Eukaryota; Metazoa; Arthropoda; Insecta; Hemiptera; Tessaratomidae.